AACCUACGCUGGAAGAAUGGGUUUUGAACACACCACUGUGCUGCAAUAACGUUUUAUUUGCAAUUCCAGAAUGCAAGGCAUCCAUUGUUUUUUAGAAUUGGGAAUAAGGCACAGCAAGGAUCCCACUAAAUCCACAGGGUCCCAUGAAGUACAGAAUAGAAAAUAAAAUAUGAACGACAACAAAAUGACAAAAGUCUUAUGUCCAAGAAGAUCUCCCCUGGAUUCCAUGAGUUCAUUCCGGAAGCAGGCCGAUAGGAGACUGCAAAGAAGAAACCAAAGAAGAAAAGAACAAGAGAUGAAGACCGUGGAGAGUUACAGAAGUAGUGCCACCUCUGUGAUCAUAGUGUGACUUUAAGAAACUAUAAAAGUAUUUUUAAAUUUGGCUCACGGCAGUAAUUUAGUUUUGCAACCAAUUUUCAUCGUGCCACAGAAGUACUGAGCGCUGAAGCGUCCACAGACCUCCAUUGCCAGGUGUAAGAUAAUGCGGAGUACACUUACUGACCUGAAUUUAACAUCUCUAAGCCUUCUCUUUAUCCUGAGAUAACUGACACACACCAGACAAAUAAUAAUACAAUAUUAGCUUUCUGGGAAGUUGGACGUGAGGGAGAAAGUGUACCACAAGGAUCUAAAAACAAAGGCUUGCAAUGUUGAGAUCACAACACGUGCCAGCUCUGUAAUUUCCUGAAAUUCAAGCCAAAUCAAUGAGUGCAGGACGAGCGACAAGCUUAUGGUUGAAUGAAACCUAAUGCUUCCUCCACAUUUUCAUCUUGAUAUGUCUCCAGUAACAGAAUUAUCUAGAUGCCCGGAUAUUUAAUUGUGCAAGCCAAGCAUAACAUCACACAAAGCUGCUAUUUAGCUGGGAAACAUGGUGAGUGUUUUCUCAACUUGUGAUUAGAGUCAAUAAAACAUCAAUACCCUUCGCACACUACUACCUGUUGAGUAUUGUCCAUAGGUCCAUGCCACACUGCCU
Molecule: long non-coding RNA, 970 nt
Organism: Pelobates fuscus (common spadefoot toad)
Lineage: Eukaryota; Metazoa; Chordata; Amphibia; Anura; Pelobatidae
Exons: 3
Source: RefSeq, a predicted model, not a curated record